RNAcentral lists this ribosomal RNA (475 nucleotides) under uncultured Glomus. Its description in RNAcentral is "SSU rRNA". It matches the Rfam family "Eukaryotic small subunit ribosomal RNA", at positions 588 to 1067 of the family's 1831-position model. The record is from RNAcentral. Lineage: Eukaryota; Fungi; Glomeromycota; Glomeromycetes; Glomerales; Glomeraceae.
GCUCCAAUAGCGUAUAUUAAAGUUGUUGCAGUUAAAAAGCUCGUAGUUGAAUUUCGGGGUUAGUAGGUUGGUCAUGCCUCUGGUAUGUACUGGUCUCACUGAUUCCUCCUUCCUGAUGAACCUUAAUCCCAUUAAUUUGGUGUUUUGGGGAAUUUGGACUGUUACUUUGAAAAAAUUAGAGUGUUUAAAGCAAGCUAACGCUUGAAUACAUUAGCAUGGAAUAAUGAAAUAGGACGUUCGAUCCUAUUUUGUUGGUUUCUAGGAUUGACGUAAUGAUUAAUAGGGAUAGUUGGGGGCAUUAGUAUUCAAUUGUCAGAGGUGAAAUUCUUGGAUUUAUUGAAGACUAACUACUGCGAAAGCAUUUGCCAAGGAUGUUUUCAUUAAUCAAGAACGAAAGUUAGGGGAUCGAAGACGAUCAGAUACCGUCGUAGUCUUAACCAUAAACUAUGCCGACUAGGGAUCGGAUGAUGUUAAU